Molecule: transfer RNA, 72 nt
Filed under: Candidatus Woesearchaeota archaeon
Lineage: Archaea; Nanobdellati; Candidatus Woesearchaeota
Description: tRNA-Asp
Rfam family: tRNA
About the family: Transfer RNA (tRNA) molecules are approximately 80 nucleotides in length. Their secondary structure includes four short double-helical elements and three loops (D, anti-codon, and T loops).
Source: RNAcentral
GCCCAAGUAGUCUAGCGGUUAGGACUGAGCCCUGUCGAGGCUCAAACCCGGGUUCGAUUCCCGGCUUGGGCG